This is a long non-coding RNA of Siniperca chuatsi (mandarin fish), 1038 nucleotides long. RefSeq lists it as uncharacterized. The transcript is spliced from 3 exons. The record is from RefSeq and is a predicted model, not a curated record. NCBI's taxonomy places the organism in Eukaryota, Metazoa, Chordata, Actinopteri, Centrarchiformes, Sinipercidae.
AGUAUGGACUGAAAGCUCCAAGUCUGGAAGUAUUUAAUAAAGAAAUAUCUUUUUCCCCUCAAAGUAUAACUUUUGUCCACACUCCAGCAUUGUAAGUGACGUUAAUGUACCUUAACGUGUGUUGCCAUUAAAUGAAAAAGAAGAAGAGUUUAUUCAUCUUGCCCUGUUCGCGCAAUGGCAAUAUUGAAAUAAACAAACUGAAAAAAAACUUUGCAAUACCAAAUUCCCGAGUGAAAUGGACGUUUUGGAUAUGAGGAGACACAACACCCCCAUAGUCAGAUUGGUGAAGCUGAGGCCGUGAUGGCGGACUUCUACACUGCCAUAACAUAAGGUGGAUGAAUAAAACACUACAAGCUCUUUUGAACCGAAUCUGCCAAUGCGGGUCCGGAACUCAGCUGGGCCCCCCCAAGCCGCACCAAACGUGCUGAAGGCUGGCACCCAACCAACUCUGAAAGAAAAAAACCUUCUACAAGAAAUCUGCUCCUGUUUGGCUGCUCAACGCCUGCACUUCUAACAUGACCAAAAGUUAGAACUGGAACAAACUCUGAAAACCACCAUGGCUCCAUCACACCCAGCCAAGUGGGGGUAUGUGAAGAUGUUAUCACCCUCCUGCCCGAGGGUGCCAUAGAGCUCCAUGCGAGAAUCGACACAGGUCCUCCGCUGCCCCCUCCCAUUCCAGUGAAACUUCUCCCUUGGCCAUCUGAACCACCAGGUGAAACUUUACUUUCCCUGUGAUAUUGGGGUUGAUGCUAUAUAUUACUAAAAGUAAUUUAGUGUUAGGUCAGGAGUAGGAUCUCCCUUCAAUAUAAUCAUGAUAUGGAAUUGUAAAGUAUUUCACUCGUGCUUCCCAAUAACCUCUCAGCUGCUGAAUGGUGCAUUAAGGUGAUUUCACUGGUCAAUAUUAAAGUUUUAUCCACUUAGUGGUUUCCUGUGUUCACACGAGUUAACACAAGCUUGCCAAGAUAAUCAUUCACUGCGGUAUAAAAUAAUCCUCAUUUCAUGCCUUAAUUGUCUGUCGCUGUAUUCAAGGUUUCAUUC